RNAcentral lists this ribosomal RNA (1398 nucleotides) under metagenome. RNAcentral describes it as "bacterial LSU rRNA". It matches the Rfam family "Bacterial large subunit ribosomal RNA", at positions 1537 to 2925 of the family's 2925-position model. The record is from RNAcentral.
AAAAUCCGUCAGAGUAAAUCUAGAUAGUAUUCAAGGGGAAUCGCAAGAGGAACCGAUGAUGUGGCGCGACACUUUCAAGAAAUAGACUCUAGUCGUCGUAGGCAACCGUACCAAAACCGACACAGGUGGAUAGGAAGAAUAUUCUAAGGCGCGCGAGAGAACUCUCGUUAAGGAACUCGGCAAAUUAUCCUCGUAACUUCGGGAGAAGAGGAGCCCCUGUCCGUGACUGCACUUGCUGCAGAAGCGGCUGGGGGCCGCAGAGAAAUGGCCCAGGCGACUGUUUAACAAAAACACAGCACUAUGCAAAGACAACUUAAGUCGAAGUAUAUGGUGUGAUGCCUGCCCAAUGCCAAAAGGUCAAAAGGAGAUGUUAGCCGCAAGGCGAAGCAUUGAAUUUAAGCCCUGGUGAAUGGCGGCCGUAACGAUAACGGUCCUAAGGUAGCGAAAUUCCUUGUCGGGUAAGUUCCGACCUGCACGAAUGGUAUAACGAUCUGGGCACUGUCUCAACGAGAGACUCGGUGAACUUGUAGUAGCAGUGGAGAUGCUGUUUACCCGCAAUAAGACGGAAAGACCCCGUGAACCUUUACUGUACUCUGAUAUUGGCUCUUGACUUGUCAUGUGUAGGAUAACCAGGAGACUGUGAAGCCGCGUCGUUAGGCGUGGUGGAGUCAACGUUGAAAUACUGGUCUUGACAAGUCGGGAAUCUAACAAAAUCCCAUGAAGCUGGGAUUUGGACAUUGUCAGACGGGCAGUUUUGCUGGGGCGGUAUCCUCCUAAAGAGUAACGGAGGAGUCCAAAGCUUGCCUCAUCGUGGUUGGCAAUCACGAGAAGAGCGUAAAGGUAUAAGGCAAGUUAACUGCGAGACCAACAAGUCGAGCAGAUACGAAAGUAGGGCUUAGUGAUCCGGCGGUGGAAAGUGGAAUCGCCGUCGCUCAACGGAUAAAAGGUACUCCGGGGAUAACAGGCUUAUCGCCACCAAGAGUUCAUAUCGACGUGGCGGUUUGGCACCUCGAUGUCGACUCAUCACAUCCUGGGGCUGAUGAAGGUCCCAAGGGUUUGGCUGUUCGCCAAUUAAAGUGGUACGCGAGUUGGGUUCAAAACGUCGUGAGACAGUUUGGUCCCUAUCUGUUGUGGGCGCAGGAUACUUGAGAGGAGCUGCUUCUAGUACGAGAGGACCGAAGUGGACGAACCAAUGGUGUUCCAGUUGUUCUGCCAAGGGCAUAGCUGGGUAGCUAAGUUCGGAAAGGAUAAGCGUUGAAAGCAUCUAAACGCCAAGCCUCCCUCAAGAUUAAGUAUCCCAAUGAGACACCAUGAAGACUACAUGGUUAAUAGGUUGGGUGUGUAAGUGCAGUAAUGCAUUGAGCUAACCAAUACUAAUCAGUCCAUUGGCUUGACCAC